GUCUUAUUGAUAUUAAAAUAAUAAGUUUAUUCUGCCCAUUGAAUUAAAUUUAAAAGGCUGCAGUAUAUUGACUGUACAAAGGUAGCAAAAUCAAUAGUUUUUUAAUUGAAAACUUGUAUGAAAGAAUUAAUAAAAUAUAAACUGUCUUAAAUUAAUUUAAUUUUAAUUUAAAUUUAAAGUUAAAAUGCUUUAAUAAAUUUAUUAGACGAUAAGACCCUAAGAAUUUAAAAUAAUUUAUUUAUAAUAAGAAAUGUAAAUUUAAAUUAAUUAAUAGUAUUAUUUUUUAUUGGGAGGGUAAUUAAAUUUUUAAACUUUAAUUUAUAAAAACGUUGAUAAAUGAAAAUAAAUAAUGAUAAUUUUAAUAAUUAUAAGAAAUAAUUACCUUAGGGAUAACAGCGUAAUAAUUUUGGAAAGUUCAUAUUAAUAAAAUUGUUUGCGACCUCGAUGUUGAAUUAAAAUAAAAAUUAAGUGAAGAAACUUAAAAUUUUAGUCUGUUCGACUAUUAAAAUUUUACA
Molecule: ribosomal RNA, 515 nt
Filed under: Polistes bicolor
Lineage: Eukaryota; Metazoa; Arthropoda; Insecta; Hymenoptera; Vespidae
Description: partial 16S ribosomal RNA
Source: RNAcentral